GUGAUUGUGCCAGCAGCCGCGGUAAUACGGAGGAUCCAAGCGUUAUCCGGAAUCAUUGGGUUUAAAGGGUCCGUAGGCGGUUUGAUAAGUCAGUGGUGAAAGCCCUACGCCCAACGUAGGAACGGCCAUUGAUACUGUUAGACUUGAAUUAUUUGGAAGUAACUAGAAUAUGUAGUGUAGCGGUGAAAUGCUUAGAGAUUACAUGGAAUACCAAUUGCGAAGGCAGGUUACUACAAAUGGAUUGACGCUGAUGGACGAAAGCGUGGGUAGCGAACAGGAUUAGAUACCCUGGUAGUCCACGCCGUAAACGAUGGAUACUAGCUGUUGGGAGCAAUCUCAGUGGCUAAGCGAAAGUGAUAAGUAUCCCACCUGGGGAGUACGUUCGCAAGAAUGAAACUCAAAGGAAUUGACGGGGGCCCGCACAAGCGGUGGAGCAUGUGGUUUAAUUCGAUGAUACGCGAGGAACCUUACCAAGGCUUAAAUGUAGUUUGACCGGUUUGGAAACAGAUCUUUCGCAAGACAAAUUACAAGGUGCUGCAUGGUUGUCGUCAGCUCGUGCCGUGAGGUGUCAGGUUAAGUCCUAUAACGAGCGCAACCCCUGUUGUUAGUUGCCAGCGAGUCAUGUCGGGAACUCUAGCAAGACUGCCAGUGUAAACUGUGAGGAAGGUGGGGAUGACGUCAAAUCAUCACGGCCCUUACGCCUUGGGCUACACACGUGCUACAAUGGCCGGUACAGAGAGCAGCCACUGCGCAAGCAGGAGCGAAUCUACAAAACCGGUCUCAGUUCGGAUCGGAGUCUGCAACUCGACUC
This 811-nucleotide ribosomal RNA is filed under the name uncultured bacterium. RNAcentral's name for it is "bacterial SSU rRNA". It matches the Rfam family "Bacterial small subunit ribosomal RNA", at positions 497 to 1318 of the family's 1533-position model. The record is from RNAcentral.